RNAcentral lists this ribosomal RNA (495 nucleotides) under uncultured bacterium. Its description in RNAcentral is "partial 16S ribosomal RNA". It matches the Rfam family "Bacterial small subunit ribosomal RNA", at positions 28 to 507 of the family's 1533-position model. The record is from RNAcentral.
GACGAACGCUGGCGGCGUGCCUAAUACAUGCAAGUAGAACGCUGAAGGAGGAGUUUGCUCUUCUGGAUGAGUUGCGAACGGGUGAGUAACGCGUAGGUAACCUGCCUGGUAGCGGGGGAUAACUAUUGGAAACGAUAGCUAAUACCGCAUAACAGUAGAUGUUGCAUGACAUUUACUUAAAAGGUGCAAUUGCAUCACUACCAGAUGGACCUGCGUUGUUUUAGCUAGUUGGUGGGGUAACGGCUCUCCAAGGCGACGAUACAUAGCCGACCGGAGACGGGGAGCGGCCACACUGGGACGGAGACACGGCCCAGACUCCUACGGGAGGCAGCAGUAGGGAAUCGUCGGCAAUGGACGGAAGUCUUACCGAGCAACGCCGCGUGAGUGAAGAAGGUUUUCGGAUCGUAAAGCUCGGUUGUAAGAGAAGAACGAGUGUGAGAGUGGAAAGUUCACACUGUGACGGUAGCUUACCAGAAAGGGACGGCUAACUACGUG